Long non-coding RNA from Callithrix jacchus (white-tufted-ear marmoset), 1754 nucleotides. Lineage: Eukaryota; Metazoa; Chordata; Mammalia; Primates; Cebidae. The record is from Ensembl.
AGGCAAACCGACUAUAGCUUCUUCUCCAGGACAGAAGGUCUAGAAUGUGUAGAGGCGGCGAAGGGGGCGGGCCACUAGGAGGCAGCGGCGGAGAUGACGGUGGUGGUGGUGGCGGCGGCGGCGAUGACGGCGGGGGCGACGGCCAGCUCGGAGGCUGCAGAGGUUAAGGUUGGGCGUGAUGGCUCACACCUGUAAUCCAGGCACUUUGGGAGGCCAAGGUGGGCAGAUCACGAGGUCAAGAGAUCGAGACCACUCUGGCUAACAUGGUGAAACCCCAUCUUUACUGAAAAUACAAAAAGCCAGCUGUGGUGGCAUGCACCUGUAAUUCCAGCUACUCAGGAGGCUAAGGCAGGAGAAUCACUUCAACUUGGAGGCGGAGGAUCUUGCCACUGCACUCAUGAACUACAGAGGAAAUAAAAACUCCCAUGUGAAGAUGCACUCCCUGCCUAUACUAGAAGAAAAGAAACAUAAUCAAGAGAAUUCUGUACAAGCAGAUCAUGUUAAAAUCAUUCUCAUUUUUGUUUUAUCUCCCACAACAUUUACUUUCCCACAAUUGCCUUUGUUUAGCCUAAUAUAAAAGCAUUUAGAAAAAUAAAACUAAAAAAAAAUUUAAAGCAUUUAGGUUUUGCUACUUCUUUGGGUCCUUAUUUCUUUAUGAGGGUCCUGUGUCACAUAAAACAUAUAAAUUUGUAUGCUUUUCUCCUGUUAAUCUGUUUUAUGUCCAUUUCAUUCUGAAGCCCAACCAAAAAUAUAAAAUGAUAGAGAUAAAAUUUUGCCUCCUCUACAGCUGUUGAAAUUAGAUUUUCUAACCACAUGACUUAGCUUAAAGUGAAUUCUUUCAGUUUCCAUACAAGUGCCUAUUGGUAGGUUAGGUAUUGUGAGAUACUGGCCCAACAAACCAGCCAAACCUACCUGAACAUCUGACCUCCAGAACUGGGGGAUGAUAAAUAAAUGUUUACUAAGCUAAAAAGUUUAUGUUAAUGUAUUAUAUAGCAAUAGAAAAUUAAUACACAUGCUUUCAAAAACUGUAAAUAACUUUGCUUUUGUGAUUAUUAAACUUCUAGUUCAUUCAAGGGGCAAAAGUCAUAUGCCUCAUCAGUUCUAGGAAAUAAGGUGAAUAAGAUUGUUCUCUGAAAUCAAAAUUGUGAAAUAAAGAGAAAGAUGCCCAAUUUGCCUUAAAUCAAAUGUGGAUUAUAAAUUUUCAGACAAAAUGCUACUUUAAUAAAACUAUGAAAUCCUUUUCUCAGAGAAGAAAAAAAGCUUGCACUCAUAGGCAAAACACUUUGUGUGGAAUAUCAAGAUUGAUUAUAAGACACCGCCUCUAACAGGACAACUCUAGUGCCCAUAGAGCAUAAACUAAAAUGGUUUAAUAUAUCACCCUAAUCAGCAAAAAAGUCGAAAUCAUUUUGCGUAAGAAGUGAAUUUCACACACAUUUUGAAGGGUCACAGGCACAAACGAAGACAACGCUCAUGAAGUCACUGCACUGAAGCAUUUCCCUGAGCCCUUUGUAAGUAUCUGGCAAACUUUGCUGUAUUAUCUCCAAAUGUUAGAGCCUGUUGGAUUUUUGUUUUGAAUUGUUUAACUAUGUCUCUUUUAUCUGAGUAUAAACUAAGCUUCUGAUUACUUGUUAUAAUGGGUAGCUUAUUUUAAAGUAAGUAUGAGUUAGUAAGAUUGCCUCACCUAUCUAAUAUCUGGGAAGGGAUACCUCAUAUCAUAUCUUUUAAAUUUUAUUCUAAAUCUUUUUUAGCUUUAC